Long non-coding RNA from Polypterus senegalus (gray bichir), 899 nucleotides. RefSeq lists it as uncharacterized. NCBI's taxonomy places the organism in Eukaryota, Metazoa, Chordata, Cladistia, Polypteriformes, Polypteridae. The transcript has 3 exons. The record is from RefSeq and is a predicted model, not a curated record.
UUUUUUUCUAACCCUUCUUACUAAUUUUUACAAGGGGUGCCAAUAAUAGUGGAGAGCACUGUAUUUAUCCUUUUUAUCUUAGGAUGGCAUGUCUGUGACUUGCAUAUUAUUUUAGGUAGUGUCCAGAUUGGGGUAUUCAUAAUACUCUGAAAAAAUUGAUGUAUUCUAAAAAACCUAUUGAGAUAACCAUGAAUGAGAGUUUUUGUAGUGAAGCACAGAGUAAUUCUCACAGUUUGAACUCUACACAAAGUGUCCACUUUUAUGAGAAUACAUGAAUGUUCAGACCAAAACCAGAGAGCUUGCACAAGACCAAUACUACAUAUGAUAAUUUGAUGUACUUAUUUGUGUGUCCACCAUGUAGGAGAGCAGACUGGCCGUGUGGCUGCAGAAUGGCAACUGACUCGAGAACAAGGGAAUCGGGUUUAUGAGGCUGUAGAGAUCAGCAGGGCCUCCAGGAGGACUCAACAUGAAAACUGUUGGAGUUCAUCAUAAAGGGCCAUGGAUCAGAUGAUCACUUGCUGGCUGUUGUAUCUGAAAAGGUGUUAUCCAAAUGGUUAAAAAUGAUGAAGAUCCUAAAGGUCACCAGGUAAUGACCUCUAUACAGUAGAAGAUGAGGAGCUGACAGAUGGCCUCUAAAACUACCUGAUGAAGUGCUGUCAAGAGCUGUAGGCACUUUUGAAAAGAUCAACAGAGUUUUCAUCAUUCUGGAUGUGCUGAUGCCAGAGGCUCAUUUGGCUUCAGUGAAUCUCUGACGAGUACAGAAAGUAUCUCCAUGAGUAAGAAGCAGAAGGUCUGUUCAUUGAUGGACCAGCAGAUGUGAGUAAAGAGUUUGACACACUUGUGGUUCAACUGUGUAAGAUAUGGCCGCCAUGUACCCGGCCAAUACCCCAAGCCCAGGU